This is a long non-coding RNA of Toxorhynchites rutilus septentrionalis, 343 nucleotides long. RefSeq lists it as uncharacterized. The transcript is spliced from 3 exons. NCBI's taxonomy places the organism in Eukaryota, Metazoa, Arthropoda, Insecta, Diptera, Culicidae. The record is from RefSeq and is a predicted model, not a curated record.
AGUUUGAUGUGAACUUGAAACGAACGUAAGGUGUAUUCUUCUGCAAAAAUGAUCAGAUUGAUUUUCGCACUUUUCCUAACGUGUACCGUUUGCGUAGCGGUGGCGGAACCUCAUCACGGUGGCCAUGGAGGUACAAUUGUCGUGGGAGGAGCACCUGUGAUACUGCGACCAGCAAUACGACGCUCUCCAGUUUUAGUUCGACCACCCGUUAUCAUACGCCCCUUGGUGGCACGACCCGUGGUGCUAUUGGGAUGACAUAGGACGAAACUAAAGAUGCAAGACUAGGUUUACAUCCGAAUGUGAGUUCAAUAAAUUAGUGAAAUAAAUGUUUUUCAAAACCAAA